CGGGUGAGUAACACGUGGGUGACCUGCCCUCAGCUCUGGGAUAAGCCCGGGAAACUGGGUCUAAUACCGGAUAUGACUACAUGCUGCAUGGUGUGUGGUGGAAAGUUUUUCGGCUGGGGAUGGGCCCGCGGCCUAUCAGCUUGUUGGUGGGGUGAUGGCCUACCAAGGCGACGACGGGUAGCCGGCCUGAGAGGGCGACCGGCCACACUGGGACUGAGACACGGCCCAG
Molecule: ribosomal RNA, 229 nt
Filed under: uncultured bacterium
Lineage: Bacteria
Description: partial 16S ribosomal RNA
Rfam family: Bacterial small subunit ribosomal RNA
Source: RNAcentral